This 491-nucleotide ribosomal RNA is filed under the name uncultured Oxalobacteraceae bacterium. RNAcentral describes it as "bacterial SSU rRNA". It matches the Rfam family "Bacterial small subunit ribosomal RNA", at positions 8 to 494 of the family's 1533-position model. The record is from RNAcentral. Lineage: Bacteria; Pseudomonadati; Pseudomonadota; Betaproteobacteria; Burkholderiales; Oxalobacteraceae.
AGAGUUUGAUCAUGGCUCAGAUUGAACGCUGGCGGCGUGCCUUACACAUGCAAGUCGAACGGCAGCACGGGGGCAACCCUGGUGGCGAGCGGCGAACGGGUGGGUAAUAUAUCGGAACGUGCCCUGGAGUGGGGGAUAACUAGUCGAAAGACUAGCUAAUACCGCAUACGAUCUGUGGAUGAAAGUGGGGGAUCGCAAGACCUCAUGCUCGUGGAGCGGCCGAUAUCUGAUUAGCUAGUUGGUAGGGUAAAAGCCUACCAAGGCAUCGAUCAGUAGCUGGUCUGAGAGGACGACCAGCCACACUGGGACUGAGACACGGCCCAGACUCCUACGGGAGGCAGCAGUGGGGAAUUUUGGACAAUGGGGGCAACCCUGAUCCAGCAAUGCCGCGUGAGUGAAGAAGGCCUUCGGGUUGUAAAGCUCUUUUGUCAGGGAAGAAACGGUCCGGGCUAAUAUCCUGGGCUAAUGACGGUACCUGAAGAAUAAGCACC